Molecule: ribosomal RNA, 253 nt
Filed under: uncultured bacterium
Lineage: Bacteria
Description: partial 16S ribosomal RNA
Rfam family: Bacterial small subunit ribosomal RNA
Source: RNAcentral
UACGAAGGGGGCGAGCGUUGUUCGGAUUUACUGGGCGUAAAGGGCGCGCAGGCGGUUCUGUUUGUCGGGUGCGAAAGCCCCCGGCUCAACCGGGGAGAGUCGUCGGGGACCGCACCGCUUGAGGGCGGUAGGGGCUGGUGGAAUGCCUGGUGUAGUGGUGAAAUGCGUAGAGAUCAGGCAGAACACCUGGGGCGAAGGCGGCCAGCUGGGCCGUCCCUGACGCUGAGGCGCGAAGGCGUGGGGAGCGAACGGG